GAUAAGGCACGCGCCUCUGCAAGUUCAAAAAUGGCGUCUCGGACACGAGCUGAGGGUGGGGGUUCCCGCCAGACAUUGGCCACUCGCGCAUGCCCAGUUGGAGAGUGGGUGGUCCCAUCCACUCUUAACCAGCUCAGCUCCAACCAGUGCAGGUGAUUCCGAGUUCCUGCGACCAGCUCAGCUUGGCUUGGUAAUAAUCUCCGCCUAAUGGAACCCGUCUCAGAACUUGGCCUCCUCCCUGCAUGGCACAGCGGGUGAAGGCCCGUUCCCAAGCAUCCGGCCUCCGAACCAUCAGAACCGCACCUCUGCUGCUUGAUGUCACGAAGGGAGUAGCGUCUGGAUGGCCAGGCAGACUGGGCAGUCCAUUUAUGUCUCCAGUCUCACAGACCAAGCUUGAGGGCUGGAGGAAAGAACAGGUGUCUGAGGAGUUCCCGUCGUGGCUCAGUGGUAAUCGAACCCAACUAAGCAUCCAUGAGGACGCAGGUUUGAUGCC
Sus scrofa (pig) is the source of this 493-nucleotide long non-coding RNA. RefSeq lists it as uncharacterized. The record is from RefSeq and is a predicted model, not a curated record. Lineage: Eukaryota; Metazoa; Chordata; Mammalia; Artiodactyla; Suidae.